Molecule: unclassified non-coding RNA, 549 nt
Filed under: Hevea brasiliensis (rubber tree)
Lineage: Eukaryota; Viridiplantae; Streptophyta; Magnoliopsida; Malpighiales; Euphorbiaceae
Source: RNAcentral
UUUCGGCCCCACAGCUUGCUUCCCUACAGAAAUUUACCCGUUACUAACAGAAACCACUUGUUUCUUUCACAUCAUAACAAUCCUAAUCAGCCAAAAAAUUAUAAGUAUUAUUAUUCUUUAUUCAAACAAAUAGGAAAAGAAAUCAAUGAAGCCAAAAGAGGACCCUAAUAUGUGUAUCUUAAUUCUUAAAUGUCUUUCAAACUACCAAGCAGAUGAAGGGUACUGAAUGAUAUGGGAUGACGAUUUAGUUGUAUACUUGUUAUAUUAACUAUGAUUACUAAAAGGAACUUCAUGUCAGAUAGUAUUCCCUCCCAUCCCCUAUCUCUACAUAAAGACAUGUGGCUCAUGUAAGAACCCAGAUACUCUACUAUUUUCCUCCACUAAUAUUGCUGACUUAAGGCUAAAACACAUCAACUUCCUGCAUAUACUGGCACAAAUCUCAUCCUUCAUCAUUAUGGAAUGAAAAAGCUAAGAGCUCCAAACCAAUCAAAACUCUAAUCUCAAUUGGACAAGUGCACUCAUCAGGACAGAGCCAGGGUUUUGCCUUAG